UACGGCCACAUCACGUUGAAACAUUGGGUCCUGUAUGAUCACCGAAGUCAAGCAACGCCGAGCCUGGUCAGUACCAUGAUGGGUGAUCACUUAGGAAUGUCAUGUGCAGU
Acanthosepion pharaonis is the source of this 110-nucleotide non-coding RNA. The record is from the annotation of a GenBank genome assembly. Lineage: Eukaryota; Metazoa; Mollusca; Cephalopoda; Sepiida; Sepiidae.